Molecule: long non-coding RNA, 4587 nt
Organism: Xenia sp. Carnegie-2017
Lineage: Eukaryota; Metazoa; Cnidaria; Anthozoa; Malacalcyonacea; Xeniidae
Exons: 4
Source: RefSeq, a predicted model, not a curated record
AUAUGUAUUUAUUUAUUUGAAUUUUUUUUUGUUUCUAAGUUUGUGCCUCCUCCAAAUCUUUGUUAUUUUAUAGAGGAUAUGAAAUACUUUAGAAUUGUGAAGUUUAAAAAAAUCUGAGAAAAUAGAUCAAGAGAAAAUAGAAAAUUGAAAGUAGAUCUAAAUUUUCUUGUGAAUUUUUAUAGCUUGAUUUUAAGCGAUGGAAUCUAGUGGAGCCACACUCCACUGUUGAUUGUGGUGCACAUUGUGAUGCCAAUUAGAUGUUUGAAACGACAGGACAUUUGAGAAAAAUGUAUUAUUCGCGAUCUAUUUGGACCAAGACAUUUAUAAACGAUGGCAGUGAAAAAGUUUGACUCAAGGAGAUGCCUACAGUUAACUUCUGUAAAUGCUUGAGGUUUUUCGUGUUACUGAUAAUAAUUGUGAAGAGCUCAAGGUAUUUGAGAUUCAGAAGCAAAGAAUGCUCAUCAUGUUCGAUCAUCAGUAAAGUGGAUUGUUGAAGUUCAAAUAGGAAGAUGAAGCAUAACUAAAAGCAGAAAAUUUUGCUGAAAGAUUUUGUCAAGUGAUUGCAUAGUAAAAUGGAAGGUUGUGGAUGAUUUUUGAAUAUGACUGAAGAAUUGAUAAACUAGCAGGUAAUGUAUUUUAGUAAACAUAGUCACUGCUAGUGUGUUUUACGGGAAUACAUUACCUAAAAGAAUAAGGAGAAUUAUAUAGUUAGGAAGCCUCGAAAUGGUGUCAGCUAAAAUGUUGGCAUGAAUUCUAAGUCAUUUCCAUGCAAUUAUUUCACAACUUUAUGAUUUGGAUUGAUUACCUGAAAAGCAAUUUGUACUAUCUUAUCAACUGACAAGAAAUAGGUAUUUGUUAAGAACAAAAUUUUUUGUUUCAUUUGACAAAUCUCUAAUGAAGGUUGGUAUCAUUGUUAGCAGCCUUUCAUUAGUAAAAACUGCUGCGUUUUUCCAAUCAAUCUUUUUAUGAAAUGGUAGUACCCAGCCAAUACUAGGAAUGAGAGGAAUGCAACUUGACUGUACGGCAUCAAGGAAAUGAUAGGAACCAAGAUGUAUGCCACAAGGAAUAAGGAGUUCGUUGUAUCUGAAAAAUUAGUUCAUAAUAAUGUACUUUGAUGCAAAGUAGAUGACCACAAAGAUAAACACAGUAAUUGGAUUAUGUGGUUGUCCUUUUUCAAAAAAUGGUUAUGAUCAGCUAUUAGUGUUAUAGGUUUAAACAUGCAAUAGUGUCUUAAGCUUUUAGAAUGAGCAAUGAUGUCAGUUUGUUGAAGUAAUGUGCCUGAGCCAAGUAGUAAUAAGUUCUUCUUUAGCCAAUAAAAUUUUUUUCUUUGCCGUGUAAAUAUGAAGUAAACGUGACUUAGCAAAAAUUAUCAGGUGAAAGUACCUGUAUAUUAUCAUGAUCACAAUGAUCAUCUUUAACAUCUUUCCAAUUAUGAGCAUGUUUGCAAGUUGUUAGCAUUAAAAUGUUUUUAUUAUUAAAUUAUGAAUUUGAUGAAGAGAUGUUCGAGUAUCUCUCCCAACGUUAUGGAGAUAUCUUUAGCCCUUAAAGUCUAUAUGAAUUUUUGUUGAAAGGGAAGAUUUCAGUCACCAGUUGUGUGUUAGUGGUUUUGGUUUACACUAAUUUUUUAUUAUGAUCAGGUAAAAUUGGAUAAAAUGAUUGGAAUUGGUGGAUGUUUGUUUAUAGAUGUAUUGAAACAAGCCGUUGAUUAACAAUUCAGUAAGAACUGCAAUGUAUAUGGAGUGAACUGUAUAGUCUACUGUUCAUGGAAGAAAGCUGUAUGUUAGGAAAGGGAUCACUUUUGUGAUUUCUAAAACGUACUUAGGCAGGUUCAGUUAGAUGAUGUGGAUUUUAUACUGUUGUUAAAGGAUUUAUUGUUCUCAAUUUUGAAGUAAAAUGUUGAGGUGGAUGAAAUUGUAGAAAAGUGAGAUGAAAAAGUAGAGUGUGUUUUUUGUAUUAUAUUGUAAUAGACAUAUAAUUAUGGCCCAUGUUGUUUGCAUGUGGAAAAAAUGUAACGUUAGUUCAUAUGUAAAGGAAAAGGAAAAGUAUUGAGAUCGUUUAUUAAAUACACGAGAUGUAUUGCCUACUUACAUAUUCUAUACGAUGAUAAAAAAUGUUUGCAAAAUUUGAUGAAUUUUGAUGCUAUUGACGUAUGGAACAUGUGACGAGUUUUGUCCAAUAGGAUUUGAUGUUAGUUUGAAUUAGUUUACCGUUUUUAUCACGCGCGAUUUUACAAAAAUUCUUAGGUAGGUAGGGCCGACAUACUUUUUAUCAGAAAGAUUAUGAAAAAUAUUAUAUUAUAUAGAUAAGUAUGAAGAUUUAUAGUAUAGGAGUGAGUUUACAGAUGUGUGUUUGUUUGAAAUAUUUGUGAAAAGUGGUUUCUGUAAGUCGGCAAGUUGAUAAAUGUCGAAGAGUUUGUUGUAAACGUGGGCAACGAAACCGGACAAUGUUCUGUUAUUGAAGAGGCUUAUGAAAAUGUAGGAGAUGUUUGGAGAAAACGCAAGAUGUAUUACAUAAGGGAAGAUAAGGAAGUUGGUAAAGUUGAAGAAAAAAAAUUAAUGUGUAAUGGUUUGUUUGAAUUGUAAUUGUGUAAAUGGAUGUUGAGGUAAUAGAGUUUAUUGUUUGAUGUAACGUUAAAAUAUAAGUGAACAUGAUAUAAGGAGGAUGCUUGGAUUUUUUAAACUUUGUCGUAAUGAGGAUUGAGUUGAUUGAAAACAUUUGUACAUGAAACAUUGAGAUUUGAAGAUUGAAUUAAAUAUUUGUGGAAAUCUACAUUAUGGUAUAUUGGUAACACACAUGAAAUGAGGUUAAAUUUUGUUUUAUUUUGAAUGUAUGGCACAAAUGUUUGGGAAUGAGAUUUGAGGAGUUGACUUUUGUGAUAUGUCAAUUGGCUAAUGUGUUUUGUAAGUAAGUAAGAAAAAAGAUUGUUUAGUUUAAGUUGAGAUAGUUUUAGUUUGAGUAGUGUUUUGAUCAUUGUCUUAAAGGUUUGGAAAAUGUGGAUGUUUUUUAAUUGACUUUUGACAUAGAUGAUUGUCAUAAACAUAUUUCAUGAUAGGAAAAGUGUUAGAAACAAGCGGCACAAAUUCAUUGUUUUGUGGAAGUAUUUAUUAUGAUUUACUUUCAGUUUUUGAUGAUUUGAAAAUUUUUAAAUAUUUUGUUUUGGUUGUGGUUAUCACAAAUGGGGAAAAGUGAAAUGGUUGUUUGACUUUUUGAAGGGAAAUGGAAAGAGUUUAAUGUCUAUUUAUAUAACAGUAAGGAAAAAGUUGUUUAAAAAAGAAAUUUUAUUAUUAAGUGUGUUGACUUGAAUUUAAUAAAUGUUGAGUGUAAGGGAUGUUAUAAUUAUUUAUGAUGGUAAAUGUUGUAUUGUGAUUUCAGGUGCAAGAAGUGUUUAACAAGAACCUCAUGAAAAAAUGACGAAGAAAAGUUGUAUAUAAAUGUGUUUGGUGAAAAAAUGGUUGUGGUUAUGAACAAGAUCAUGAAAAUUUGUAGUUGAGGUAAGUAUGUUUAAGUAUGGUGUAUUUUAGGGGAGGGAAGUUUUGUGGCAAGAAAUAUUUAAGGGUUUUAAGAUUGAAGAAAGUUUUGAUUAAGUAAAAUAAGGGAGAGUUAAGAAAUAAGUAAUAUGCAGGAAAUGUUAUAAUAUAUUGGGAUUAAAAUGUGGUUGAUAUAUGUUUGUGCAUGUAGUUUAUCGAAGUUAAAUUAGUCUUGAGAAGGAAUGUUGGUUUGACUGAUGCUUGAAAAAGCAUAGUGGUAGUCAUCUUAAGAGUGAAAAGUUUCAUUUUGAUUUCGAAACAUCAGUCAAGAAAAACCAUCCUUUUUGAGACUAAUAACCUGGACAAUGUACAGCUACAAACAUGUAACGAUACUCCCAGGUUCAAACCAUUUAGUUUAAGUUUUCUUUUACUAUGAUGAGUAAUGCUAAGGUUGUCAACAAAGGGAGUAUUUGGACUAAUGUCGUCUAAGGAUUGAACUAACUGGGAGGAAUAACAUGAUGUUAGGGAUAUGGGAAUGACAGUCGAUUUUAAUAUAAAUGGAAGAUAUAAAUGGCAAAAUUUGUAUGCUAGAUUUGGGUUCAAAUCAUCUAGUUUAAAAGAUUUUGAUAAGUGAACUUGUAUGUAUAUAAUGUAAAAGAUGGUAUGUUCAGUAAGUGUUUAUUGGAGUUAGAUAUUAAGAAAGGUUUGUAUACAAAAGCCGUAUUUGGAUGAAAAGAAAAGGUUUGUAUGCAGCAGAUAGAGUUGGACAAGAAGAAAUGGUUUGUAUGCAGCGGAUAGAGUUGGAAAUGAAGUAAGCAAGAACUGUUUAUGAUCAAUAAAGAGUUUAUUAAAUAUUAGAUGAAAAGUGUUUAAUUGUAAUGGUGGGAAGUAGUGGGGGUGUCGAUUUAAUUAUUUUUUAUGCUUAUGAGGGGUUGGAAAGGCAUAUAAGUUUUAUGUAAUGGGUAGUUGUCAACAUGACCUGUGUGGUCUAGUGGCUGAUGUUCCUGUGUAUGAUGCUGAUGAUGUUGGUUCAAAUCCUGGUUGGGUCAAUGAAGAUGUUGAUGUGAACCUGAUGUUGUGAUGAACCCAUGGUUAGCUGAGGCACAGUGAAGGAAGUAUC